This 261-nucleotide ribosomal RNA is filed under the name Triticum aestivum (bread wheat). Its description in RNAcentral is "partial small subunit ribosomal RNA". The record is from RNAcentral. Lineage: Eukaryota; Viridiplantae; Streptophyta; Magnoliopsida; Poales; Poaceae.
AUGUCCUUCACCAUCACGAAAGUCUAUGCCCCGUCCGACCACUCCCUUACGGCGGCCUUUGUUGACGACAUGUCCGCUCUGGCUACUUCCAUUUCCGGGCCGUGGUUAGUUGUGGGCGACUUUAACCUCUUUCGGGAGCCACACGAGAAAAACAACGAUCGGUUCGACGCUGGCCGGGCCGCGGCCUUCAACUCCAUGAUCAAUUCCCUUGCGUGGCUGGAGCUCCCCGUCCCUGACAGGCUCUUCACCUGGUCUAGCAAA